GCGUGAUCCCCAACAUCAACCCCGUGCUGCUCCCCAAGAAGGCCCUCGAGAAGGCCGAGAAGGAGUCCCAGUCGCCCAAGUCGCCCAAGAGGAAGGCCCCCGCCCCCGCACCCGCCGCCAAGAAGACCCCCAAGAAGACCGCCGCCGACAAGAAGACCGCCGCCGCCGACAAGAAGACCGCCGCCGCCGACAAGAAGACCGCCGCCGCUGACAAGAAGACCGCCGCCGCCGACAAGAAGGCUGCCGCCGACGCCGAGGAGGAGGCCGCCGCCGACGAGUAGACAGGGCAAAGUUGCGUCGCGUAGUUCUGCAUCUGAGAGGGGAGAGAAAGAGAGAGAGCAUGGGAUCCUGUAUGUAAUGCCUGGUCUGGAGUCCGAACUGGUGGUAGUCUGUAGCGUCGAUUGAUCUUGAAUCACUUCUGUAGCGUCGAUUGAUCUUGAAUCACUGCUGAAUUGAAGCUGGAAACUUGAUCGUGUAGCCAAUUCCAAUCUUUUCCGUGUCAAUUUUGCGAAAUUUUGCCGGUUCUUGCCUUGAUCCCCUUGUUCGUCUGUACAUUUGUUCCCACAAUUUCACCUGGUUAGGUGUUCUUGGGGGCGAUUUGGCAAUAACUUGGUUCAGUGAGGUG
This 625-nucleotide long non-coding RNA is filed under the name Triticum aestivum (bread wheat). RNAcentral describes it as "long non-coding RNA (TAES_LNC026554)". The record is from RNAcentral. Lineage: Eukaryota; Viridiplantae; Streptophyta; Magnoliopsida; Poales; Poaceae.